This 1976-nucleotide long non-coding RNA is filed under the name Homo sapiens (human). RNAcentral's name for it is "HSALNT0064680". The record is from RNAcentral. Lineage: Eukaryota; Metazoa; Chordata; Mammalia; Primates; Hominidae.
CAUGGCAUUUGAACGUACAGUAAUUGCUGUUGAUUGUCCUUACAAGCCCUGUGAAAUAGGCUUUGCAGCUGGUAUUAUCUAUCUUGUACAGAUGAACGAACGAUUGCUUAGAGAUAGAAAACACUUCACCUGAGGUCACCAGGCUAAGUAAAUGGAUGAAGACUCUGGAGCUUAAAGAAAUAAUUUACAAUUCCAGUUAUAUAUUGCUGUGUAACAAACCACCCUGAACUUAGUGUAAAAAAGAACAAUUAGUUUGCUCAAAAAUGUACCAUUUGGGCAGUGUUUGGUAGGGACAGCCCACAUAUGCUCCAAGCAGUGUCAACUAGGAUGGAUGACUCAAAGAUCGGGGGAACGUGAUGGCUGGAAGCUAGAAUCAUCUGAAUGCUCACACACUCACAUGCCCGAUGGCUGAUACUGGCAUGUGAUCCUCAAGUGGGGCUCUUGGAUCAAAUGACUAUAUGCAACUUCUCAAUGGGUUGCUUGGUUUUCUCAGAUCAUGGCAGCUGGAUACCAAGAGUGAGCAUUCGAAGAGACAAGAACUUUACCUUCAACAUCUGGCCCAAAUUUAUUUUGUACUGGAGAGGAAUACUACCUUCUGCAUGCCUAGAAGCAUGCCUCUUACCAGCAGACAUCUUCCAAGGGAAAUGAUGUGGAGCAAAGGAAUGAGCACACAAACACUCAUGUCUUAAGUCUAAAACAAAAACCCAAAAGUGUUUGCUUUGUAUCGCAUAUUAUUUUUUUAUUUUGUAUUUUCCAUUCUCUUUUCAUUUCACCAUGGAUGUUUUCUACAAGCCUAUACUUAUACUUACUAAUGCUUUCUUCCGUUAAUCUUCCAUUAAAAUCCAUACUGAACUCUUAAUUUUAAAAAUAAUUAAAAUUAUUGUUUAAACAUUUCUAUUUUUAAGAUUUUUAUAUUGUUUCUUUAGAAAAUAAAUUCUAGUUCUCUGGUAAAAUUCUUUAUCCUGUCAAAUAUUUUCUUGAACAUAUUAAGGUUUUUUCAAAGUCUGUGCUUGUUCACUCCAAAAAAAUAGUGUGCCUACAUGUCUGUUUCUUAUAUAUGUAUAUAAAAAUUACCACAAAAAAAGGAAUCUAAUUUAUAGUGACAAUAGAUCAGUGGUUGACUGUGGCUGUGAGCAGGGGAAGGAAUUAACAAUAAAGAGGCAUAGGUAAAUAUUUUGGGGAGAAGAAAAUUUUCUGUACUUUGAUAGUGGUAGUAGUUACAUAAUGUCAAGUUUUUCUUUUGGUCUCAUACUGUUACAUACUCUUUAGUUAUUCAUCUAAUGUUAGAUAUUUUGUAUGAAAUAAAACUAAGCUACUCCUUCAUACAUUACAAAAUAUUGAAAGCUUAACAUGUGCCAGUCCUUUUACUGGGGAUCUAGCACUAAAACAGGACAGACACAGCUUCCAUACUGACAGAGCUUCCAGUUCCUUGGUGGACCUUUCUAAUUCCUGAAGUUCUUUGGGCUUUCAAAGUUGUUCACACUCUUUUAUUUACCCAGAAUGCCAUGGUCCCUGUGUUUGUAUGCUCAAAUCAUAUACAUAUUUUUAAAUGUUACAAUUUUUAAAUACAAUUUUAAAUGUUACAGCCUCAAUAAAUCUGUCUAUAUUAAAAGUAAUCUUAUGUUAGUCUGAGCUUUCAUGUUAAAUGAUCUGUUCCUCUAAUGGUAUUUAUAUAAUCUGCCUGCCUGGUAAUAUUAAUGAAGUAUCCCAUAUAACCAGAUUUCAAACUCUUUAAGUACAAGGACCUUGUCUUACUAACUCUUGUAUGUACUAUGGUAUGUAAAAAAGUGCCUGAUCGUAGUAAACAUAUGUAUUAAGUGAAUAUUUGACUGUGUCAUUAUAAUGUUUAUAAAAUUAUAGUCCAUGUUUUAAUAUUUUCUACCUAAUAAUUCACCACUCUACUUACUCCUAAUUAUUGAGCUCGAAUCACUUAUAACCCUACCAUAACUAAUUCUAGCUUGCAGCUUCCAUGAUAC